Molecule: long non-coding RNA, 2433 nt
Organism: Panicum virgatum (switchgrass)
Lineage: Eukaryota; Viridiplantae; Streptophyta; Magnoliopsida; Poales; Poaceae
Exons: 3
Source: RefSeq, a predicted model, not a curated record
GCGGACGCCUCCACUCCGGCGGACGCCUGCAGGGGACGGCGCGGACGCUGCACCGGGAUGCCGUCGUCUGCCCCCCAACGCCCGCCGCCACCUCCAUCUCCUCAAGCACCGGCGGCAUUGGAGAUCCGCAUGCGGGAGGCCACGGUGAGGGCGAGCGUGGCAUGGCGGGGGCGACCUCCAAGCCUUGUCGAGGCUUUCUUGGAAUUCCCGGCCUGACAAGCAGGCUAUAAAACAUACUUUGGAUUUUGGAAGAAGAAGCUAGGAGGUGCCAGUGGCUGGUGCUAUGGCUUGAUUGUCACAGAGAGGGUGAUAACAUAGCAUAUGAAGUGAUCGGAGUUUGUACAGGUUUGAUGACGUGCUUUAGGGGAUUGAUUAAGCUACCUUAAGGAUUUAAGUAUUAUGCUAAUUUUAAAGAAUUUGACUGAACUGGUGAUCCUAUCAGAUUGCAUUCUUCAUAAACAUUGUUGGCUACUGGUGGUCUGUUAGUGUGCCAGUGUCAUCACUAUGGGUCGUGAAGUUGGCUUAUGAUCAGUGAAGGUCCGUGGUUUUCCAUUGGUAUACCUGAUCCGGUGAAGGUAAGUAAUACUUCCAACUUUGUGCACUAAUCACUAUUUCUGAAGUUGGGGCCACCCAGCCCAUCAUAUGAUUGGCUCUUUAUCUUGACUCUCAUGCUUAGCAUUUAAUUGCCUAUGUGGCUCACAUAAUCAGUAAUUGGACACUAGGCACCACGGUUGCUUGGCUAGCUCAUUUUUUAAUUCUGAAAUAUAUCACCAUUGGUGUUCUACAUGCAUGUGAAUACAUGGUUUGUUUGGUCUGACUUCCAGAGGGGGUAAGGGAGUGAGGCUGUAAAAUUAACCCUCUUUAGGGCUUGUAUGCAGAGGAUGAGUAACUGUAUAAAAUGGAAGGGGAACUUAAAGAUUCUGAGAUCUUUCUUUAUGUGCAAGCUAAUCAUUAUAUGAUAAAAGAGGUAACAGUAGGCUAAUUUCUUUUUGUAUGUAUAGUUCAGUGCAGAUAACAACUUGCAUUUCCAUCUGUAUAUAUGAGCCGCUGAUUCUGUAGAUUAUUUUAAUAUUUUGUAUUCCUUUAGCUGUAGCAAAAUAAGUUUUUUUUUACUCCUUUGUGCUGGUAAUAUCACCUCCUAUUUUUUUGCAUUCAAUUUGUGCAAGUGCAUCAAAUGGUUUUGCUGAAAUCGGACCUAAACCUGAUACUGACUGAUGUAGUUCAAGCUACCAUUUUGCUUACACUGGUGCAUAAUUGUUACAAUUGUUACAUACAUGACUUGUCAGGUGCUUGAUUAUCUAAGGUCUAUGUAUGGAACGGGCAUGUGCUGCAUUACCAGAAGAUGGAAUCUGUAUGCAAUGUUGCCUCAAUUCAGUGUAUUUUUUCUUUGCUGCAGUGCUUAAAAUUUUUGGUAUGAAAGAUGUCCCUUUGGAGCUUUUCUGUUUUGAAUUAGCAAGCACUAUAAAUGAUACAUGUACUAUUAUAUUAGCAUCAUACUACUCUUGUUGACUUCUGCCUGUUGGACACUAUGGAGAGCUUUCUCGAAAUUGGAUAGUUUGGAUAGUCUCAUUCUACCAUAAAUCGGCUGCUAGGUAAACUCAUUCAACCUUGGUAGAUAACCAGAUUAAUCAAGCUAUACCUGCUGUUUUAUUGUACAGUUUGGAGUUAUAUACUUGCUGAUUGUUUAUUUUUAAGCUUGACUUUUUUUUGGGCAAACACUCUUUAGUAUUUUGAUUUUUCUGUGCUGUCCAUGCUAGGAGCAUUGUGCUAAAAUAAAAGCAAAUGCUCAUGGUUUUUGGUCUUACAAGCAAUUCAUUAUAUAUAAUUCAGAAAAUUCAUCCCUUGUUUUUGCCUUCGGGGCCUGUUAGAAGGGAGGUGAUUAUAAAAAAAUAUUUAAAUUUAAAUAUAUGCCUCUGAUAUUAUGUAAUAACUAAGGCAUAGCCUAAUCAUUGAUGCUCAUGUAACUCCAAUGUUCUUUUGCAGGUCAUGAAUUUCUUGCAACAGCCGAACAUGUCUGGGAUCUUUGACAUGUUUUUUUUUAAGAUUUCACAUGUUUUUAGAAGUGAAGCAGCUAGGAAGCUUUGGCUAUAUUCCUCAAAUAUUACUCGGUCAUUUUUCCGCAUAACACUGAUCUGCAUUAUUGUUACUAAUCCAAAAUUUGUUGACGCAGGGAGGGAAGAAGUUUCAGACCUACUUCCAGUGCUGUAUCAAGGCCUCAUGAGAAGGAGGUGCUUUCACUGCCUGUGUGAACAUUAGGUCUUGGUUUUGCUAAAUAUCCAAAAAUGUGUAAUAUAUUUACUCUGAUGGCUACUCUGUCGAUAUGUAUGAAGAACAAACCAGUUUUGUAAUUGUGAUGGGACAAAUAUGUAGAAACAAGAAAUGACCUUGCUCCACCAUUAUUCUGGCAUAUAUCUCAAACAUAAUUCUGGUGUA